RNAcentral lists this ribosomal RNA (172 nucleotides) under uncultured Tindallia sp. RNAcentral's name for it is "partial 16S ribosomal RNA". It matches the Rfam family "Bacterial small subunit ribosomal RNA", at positions 335 to 522 of the family's 1533-position model. The record is from RNAcentral. Lineage: Bacteria; Bacillati; Bacillota; Clostridia; Peptostreptococcales; Tindalliaceae.
UGGCCUACGGGAGGCAGCAGUGGGGAAUAUUGCACAAUGGGGGCAACCCUGAUGCAGCAACGCCGCGUGAGCGAAGAAGGCCCUCGGGUCGUAAAGCUCUGUCCUAUGGGAAGAAGAAGUGACGGUACCAUAGGAGGAAGCCCCGGCUAACUACGUGCCAGCAGCCGCGGUA